This 497-nucleotide ribosomal RNA is filed under the name uncultured bacterium. Its description in RNAcentral is "partial 16S ribosomal RNA". It matches the Rfam family "Bacterial small subunit ribosomal RNA", at positions 28 to 507 of the family's 1533-position model. The record is from RNAcentral.
GAUGAACGCUGGCGGCGUGCCUAAUACAUGCAAGUCGAGCGAACAGACGAGGAGCUUGCUCCUCUGACGUUAGCGGCGGACGGGUGAGUAACACGUGGAUAACCUACCUAUAAGACUGGGAUAACUUCGGGAAACCGGAGCUAAUACGGGAUAAUAUAUUGAACCGCAUGGUUCAAUAGUGAAAGACGGUUUUGCUGUCACUUAUAGAUGGAUCCGCGCCGCAUUAGCUAGUUGGUAAGGUAACGGCUUACCAAGGCAACGAUGCGUAGCCGACCUGAGAGGGUGAUCGGCCACACUGGAACUGAGACACGGUCCAGACUCCUACGGGAGGCAGCAGUAGGGAAUCUUCCGCAAUGGGCGAAAGCCUGACGGAGCAACGCCGCGUGAGUGAUGAAGGUCUUCGGAUCGUAAAACUCUGUUAUUAGGGAAGAACAAAUGUGUAAGUAACUAUGCACGUCUUGACGGUACCUAAUCAGAAAGCCACGGCUAACUACGUG